RNAcentral lists this ribosomal RNA (460 nucleotides) under uncultured bacterium. RNAcentral describes it as "partial 16S ribosomal RNA". It matches the Rfam family "Bacterial small subunit ribosomal RNA", at positions 338 to 795 of the family's 1533-position model. The record is from RNAcentral.
CCUACGGGCGGCAGCAGUGAGGAAUAUUGGUCAAUGGGCGAGAGCCUGAACCAGCCAAGUCGCGUGAAGGAUGACGGCCCUACGGGUUGUAAACUUCUUUUGUCAGGGAGCAAUUGAGUCCACGUGUGGUCUUAGCGAGAGUACCUGAAGAAAAAGCAUCGGCUAACUCCGUGCCAGCAGCCGCGGUAAUACGGAGGAUGCGAGCGUUAUCCGGUGUUAUUGGGUUUAAAGGGUGCGUAGGCGGAAUAUCAAGUCAGCGGUAAAAAUUCGGGGCUAAACCCCGUCGUGCCGUUGAUACUGAUGUUCUUGAGUGGGCGAGAAGGAUGCGGAAUGCGAGGUGUAGCGGUGAAAUGCAUAGAGAUCACGAAGAACUCCGAUUGCGAAGGCAGCAUACCGGCGCCCAACUGACGCUGAAGCACGAAAGCGUGGGUAUCGAACAGGAUUAGAUACCCCUGUAGUC